Molecule: ribosomal RNA, 1349 nt
Filed under: metagenome
Description: bacterial LSU rRNA
Rfam family: Bacterial large subunit ribosomal RNA
Source: RNAcentral
UGAGUACGAGCUGCUACGGCAGCGAAGUGGGUGAUGUCAAGCUUCCAAGAAAAGCCCUAUACCCGUUAAGGCAUGAUGGCCUGUACCCGAAACCGACACAGGUGGGGUGGUAGAGAAUACCGAGGGGCGCGAGAUAACUCUCUCUAAGGAACUCGGCAAAAUGGCCCCGUAACUUCGGGAGAAGGGGUGCCACCGCAAGGUGGUCGCAGUGAAGAGGCCCAGGCGACUGUUUACCAAAAACACAGGUCUCCGCUAAGUCGCAAGACGAUGUAUGGGGGCUGACGCCUGCCCAGUGCCGGAAGGUUAAGGAAGCUGGUCAGCGUAAGCGAAGCUAGCGACUGAAGCCCCGGUGAACGGCGGCCGUAACUAUAACGGUCCUAAGGUAGCGAAAUUCCUUGUCGGGUAAGUUCCGACCCGCACGAAAGGCGUAACGAUCUGGGCGCUGUCUCGGAGAGAGGCUCGGCGAAAUAGAAUUGUCUGUGAAGAUGCGGACUACGUGCACCCGGACAGAAAGACCCUAUGAAGCUUUACUGUAGCUUGGUAUUGUGCCCGGGCUCUGAAUGCGCAGGAUAGGUGGGAGGCUUUGAUCCAUUGCUUGUGGGUGAUGGUGAGCCAACGGUGAGAUACCACUCUUUCAGAGCUAGGGUUCUAACGGUCACCCGUCAUCCGGGGACCGGACAGUAUCAGGUGGGCAGUUUGACUGGGGCGGUCGCCUCCUAAAAGGUAACGGAGGCGCGCAAAGGUUUGCUCAGGCUGGUUGGAAAUCAGCCGACGAGUGUAAAAGCAGAAGCAAGCUUGACUGUGAGACCUACAAGUCGAACAGGGACGAAAGUCUGCUUUAGUGAUCCGACGGUUCUGAGUGGAAGGGCCGUCGCUCAACGGAUAAAAGUUACUCUAAGGAUAACAGGCUGAUCUCCCCCAAGAGUUCACAUCGACGGGGAGGUUUGGCACCUCGAUGUCGGCUCAUCGCAACCUGGGGCUGAAGUCGGUCCCAAGGGUUGGGCUGUUCGCCCAUUAAAGCGGUACGCGAGCUGGGUUCAGAACGUCGUGAGACAGUUCGGUCCAUAUCCGGUGCAUGCGCAGGAAUAUUGAGAGGAUUUCUCCCUAGUACGAGAGGACCGGGAGGAACGCACCUCUGGUGUGCCAGUUAUCGUGCCAACGGUAAACGCUGGGUAGCCAUGUGCGGAGAGGAUAACCGCUGAAAGCAUCUAAGUGGGAAGCCCACCUCAAGAUGAGUAUUCCCAUGGCGUUAGCCAGUAAGGUCACGGGCAGAACACCCGUUGAUAGGCUCUACGUGGAAGCCGGGUAACCGGUGAAGCGGAGGAGUACUAAUAGACCGAGGGCUUGAC